Molecule: ribosomal RNA, 253 nt
Filed under: uncultured bacterium
Lineage: Bacteria
Description: partial 16S ribosomal RNA
Rfam family: Bacterial small subunit ribosomal RNA
Source: RNAcentral
UACGAGAGGCCCAAACGUUAUUCGGAUUCACUGGGCGUAAAGGGUGCGCAGGCGGCCAAGUGUGUGAGGCGUGAAAGCCCGGGGCUUAACCCCGGAAUUGCACCUCAAACUACAUGGCUAGAGCAUUGGAGAGGGUAGCAGAAUUCAUGGUGUAGCAGUGAAAUGCGUAGAUAUCAUGAGGAAUACCAGAGGCGAAGGCGGCUACCUGGACAAUUGCUGACGCUCAGGCACGAAAGCGUGGGGAGCAAAAGGG